CAGGCCUAACACAUGCAAGUCGAGCGGGCAUCGCAAGAUGUCAGCGGCAGACGGGAGAGUAACACGUGGGAACAUGCCCUUCGGUUCGGAAUAACCCAGGGAAACUUGGACUAAUACCGGAUACGUCCGUAAGGAGAAAGAUUUAUCGCCGAAAGAUCGGCCCGCGUCUGAUUAGCUAGUUGGUGAGGUAAUGGCUCACCAAGGCGACGAUCAGUAGCUGGUCUGAGAGGAUGAUCAGCCACAUUGGGACUGAGACACGGCCCAAACUCCUACGGGAGGCAGCAGUGGGGAAUAUUGGACAAUGGGCGCAAGCCUGAUCCAGCCAUGCCGCGUGAGUGAUGAAGGCCCUAGGGUUGUAAAGCUCUUUUGUGCGGGAAGAUAAUGACGGUACCGCAAGAAUAAGCCCCGGCUAACUUCGUGCCAGCAGCCGCGGUAAUACA
Molecule: ribosomal RNA, 440 nt
Filed under: uncultured Alphaproteobacteria bacterium
Lineage: Bacteria; Pseudomonadati; Pseudomonadota; Alphaproteobacteria
Description: bacterial SSU rRNA
Rfam family: Bacterial small subunit ribosomal RNA
Source: RNAcentral